AAAAUAAAAAUAUUGUUUGUUUCCCCUCGCCCGACCGAGUCUGAAAAUUCACACCGACCCAUAAGUUUUUAUUACGCCAUUCUGGUGAAGUUUUUUUUUUUAAUUUUAAGAAAAUUUCAAGGUCGUUUCUGGUGCAGAUCAGUAUUUUAUAAUGACAAAAAUUUUCUAUAUCUUCUUUGGUUUCGAUCCAAAAUAAAAAAAAUAAUAAUACGAAUACAGGAGGUGUUCUGGUCCGAAAUCUAGAAAUUUCGCCGCCUCCAGCUGGAGGCAGCAUUCUCUGGCUGAUUUCAAAUACUUACAAGCCGAAUUCAAUUUUAAGCUCAUAACUAAUCAAUAAAACGAUUCUUCUUGUACUUACUAAUAUCGAUUUUAUGGGUUCUUUCAUCACAUAAACAGUCUCUUGAAAACAUUUUAUCAAACUGUCGAGCUUUGUUUUGAGUCACGAGACUCGUUUGCUCAAAUGGCAGUGAAAAUUCGGUUGACUACAACUGUUGGUUUCUGUUUAAUAUCGAAUUUUGGAUUGAUAUUUUCUUUUAAUCGAUAUUAAUAAGUACAAGAAUCAUGAUUGUUUUAUUGAUUAGUUACAAGUGAGUUUAACAUUGAAUUCGGCUCGCAAUUCGGACUAGUGAUCUGCAAGAUCGAGAUGGAGAAAUGUUGUCUAUACGAGGAGCGAGGAAACAAGAGAAUUCGGGGCAUCCAGUGUGCAAGUUGUGUUCUUCAGUAGGGGAAAGUGCUGAUAUUUCGGACGGAUGCGAUAUUUUUGACAGUCAAUCAGAAGCAUUCUGAAUUUAACUUAUUUCUGAACUAAUGCUAUAUUUACAAACUGGAAAACACCUAAUUAUAUGCACAUUUGUAACUCAGCUCUGAUUGGUUGAUGUCAUCAUCCAUUUUGUUUGAUCGGCAAAAUCAAGUCCCGUUGAAACGUUUUCUGGUAAACUAGAUCUACCGAUAUCAUUUAAAAAUAUAAUCAAAAUCACUAUCAUAUACAAAUUAAGAUAAUGUGCAAAAAACAAAAGAAUAAAAUGUCAGUGAACCAUAAAUAAAAGACAGCAACCGAGUUUACCAAUUUUAUAACACCAUGUGUCCAAAACUAACACCAUUGUCCAUAGUUGCAACAUUCUCCCUAACUUUAUUUAAGUGUUAGUAUGUGGCAUAAAUAGCAGAGAAAAUUCUGAUGAAACCCAAUGUUCGUCGAAUCAACCAAUAUGUAUACAUGUAGUCCAAUGCCUAAGUUUAGUGGUUAGAUAAUGAGCAUUUCCAAAAUACAUGAAGUACUGUCCAAAAUAUCGACACCUUCCCUAAUUGCAAAACGUGGCAAUCAAAGCAGAAUUUACGCGAGAACUGACUAUACGAGUUUGAUGAGGAAACAUGGAUGAUGUGAUUCACGACGUUUGGUAUCGGGCAUUGUUAAUGGUUAUGGGAAUUUCAUAAUAAAUAAAAUUCUGCUAGCUAAAAAAAACAAAAAACUUUUUACUUACCUACCGACCUUCCUCUGAAAUUUAGGGUCGGGAGAGGGGAAACAAACAUAUUUUUAAAUGUGGCCCAAGGGACUUCUGGGAUGAUCCUCAGUUAAAGGUUCAGAUUUAGCUCGGAUUAUUCUGUGCUCUUUAGUCAUUGGACCUUGCAGUAUGAGCCAGAGCACUGCGCUCGCUAUUAGUAUGCAAGUAGCUGCAUUUAAUUCAAAUUGAAGUUGAACACAAGGACCCCAGGGGUAGGGUGGGGGCAGAAUAUGGAAUCAGAGUUUUAUAUGGUAAUAUGCAGAAAAUUUAUUAAAACAAAGACUUUUCAAGAGUAGCAGGGCCACACUAAAUCAUAUCCAAAUGCAAAUGUCCCCAAGUUGUGUGAAAACAAGGUUUUUUUAUGACCCUGACUAAGGAUGGGGUGGAAUUGUUUUUGUCCUGUCUGUCUGAAAUUUUAACCUUCCUCAUAACUUUUAAAUAAUGAGCAAUGGGGCUCUCAUAUUUGCAUUCUUUUUUAUAGCCAUAAAGUCUUUCACCUCGUGACCUUGACAUUAGAGUUUCAUCUACUGACCGGUUUAGCUUUCUGGACCUUAAAAGAUGUUGACACCCUGCUGAUGGAGCAGAUCCUAUUUCUUAGAAGCAGAAAGCAGUUCUCUUACCAUCAGAUCUGAUCCAUUUUUGGAGAUAGCCUUUUGUAUGGAGCUGGGUAACGGUUACUGGAGACAUGCUGUUGAUUGAUGAGGAUAAUUUUCCUGAGACUCUGACAUAUUGCAGGACCUGGAUAGCUCUACUGGUGUUCAAA
Long non-coding RNA from Ostrea edulis (European flat oyster), 2262 nucleotides. RefSeq lists it as uncharacterized. NCBI's taxonomy places the organism in Eukaryota, Metazoa, Mollusca, Bivalvia, Ostreida, Ostreidae. The transcript is spliced from 3 exons. The record is from RefSeq and is a predicted model, not a curated record.